GAUGAACGCUGGCGGCGUGCCUAAUACAUGCAAGUCGAGCGAACGGACGAGAAGCUUGCUUCUCUGAUGUUAGCGGCGGGCGGGUGAGUAACACGUGGAUAACCUACCUAUAAGACUGGGAUAACUUCGGGAAACCGGAGCUAAUACCGGAUAAUAUUUUGAACCGCAUGGUUCAAAAGUGAAAGACGGUCUUGCUGUCACUUAUAGAUGGAUCCGCGCUGCAUUAGCUAGUUGGUAAGGUAACGGCUUACCAAGGCAACGAUGCAUAGCCGACCUGAGAGGGUGAUCGGCCACACUGGAACUGAGACACGGUCCAGACGCCUACGGGAGGCAGCAGUAGGGAAUCUUCCGCAAUGGGCGAAAGCCUGACGGAGCAACGCCGCGUGAGUGAUGAAGGUCUUCGGAUCGUAAAACUCUGUUAUUAGGGAAGAACAUAUGUGUAAGUAACUGUGCACAUCUUGACGGUACCUAAUCAGAAAGCCACGGCUAACUACGU
RNAcentral lists this ribosomal RNA (496 nucleotides) under uncultured bacterium. RNAcentral's name for it is "partial 16S ribosomal RNA". It matches the Rfam family "Bacterial small subunit ribosomal RNA", at positions 28 to 506 of the family's 1533-position model. The record is from RNAcentral.